Molecule: long non-coding RNA, 365 nt
Filed under: Hordeum vulgare
Lineage: Eukaryota; Viridiplantae; Streptophyta; Magnoliopsida; Poales; Poaceae
Description: long non-coding RNA (HVUL_LNC012129)
Source: RNAcentral
UUAGUUUUAGUUUAGUUUAGGUUUAGUUUUAGUUUAGGUUUAGUUAGGUUAGUUUCAUGUUUAGUAAAGGAGAAAAGGAGAAGAAGAAGAAGGAGAAAGGAGAAGAAGAAGAAGGAGAAAGGAGAAGAAGAAGAAGAAGGAGAAAGGAGAAGAAAAAAAUAAGAAGAAGAAGGAAAAGAAGAAGAAGGAAAAGGAAGGGAAGGAGGAGAAAUAAGAAGAAGAACAAGAAGAAAAAUAGGAGAGGAAGAGAAGAAUAAGAGGAAAAAAGAAAAUAAGAAGAAGAAGCAGAAGAAGAAGAAGAGAAGAAGAAAACAAGAAUAAGGAGAUGAAGAAUAAGAGGAAAAAAGAAAAAAGAAAAUAAGAAU